UACAGAGGGUGCGAGCGUUAAUCGGAAUUACUGGGCGUAAAGCGCGCGUAGGUGGUUUUGUAAGUCAGAUGUGAAAGCCCCGGGCUCAACCUGGGAACUGCAUUUGAGACUGCAUGACUAGAGUAUGGGAGAGGGCAGUGGAAUUUCAGGUGUAGCGGUGAAAUGCGUAGAUAUCUGGAGGAAUACCGGUGGCGAAGGCGGCAUCCUGGACCGGCAUUGACGCUGAUGAGCGAAAGCUAGGGGAGCAAACGGG
RNAcentral lists this ribosomal RNA (253 nucleotides) under uncultured bacterium. Its description in RNAcentral is "partial 16S ribosomal RNA". It matches the Rfam family "Bacterial small subunit ribosomal RNA", at positions 524 to 776 of the family's 1533-position model. The record is from RNAcentral.